RNAcentral lists this ribosomal RNA (1327 nucleotides) under Clostridioides difficile. RNAcentral describes it as "partial 23S ribosomal RNA". It matches the Rfam family "Bacterial large subunit ribosomal RNA", at positions 786 to 2002 of the family's 2925-position model. The record is from RNAcentral. Lineage: Bacteria; Bacillati; Bacillota; Clostridia; Peptostreptococcales; Peptostreptococcaceae.
CAGUUGAAAAUGGAGGGGAUGAGCUGUGGAUAGGGGUGAAAGGCCAAUCAAACACCGUGAUAGCUGGUUCUCCCCGAAAUGCAUUUAGGUGCAGCGUUGUGUGGUUCGUGUCGGAGGUAGAGCACUGGAUGGUCUAGGGGGCCUAUCAGCUUACCGAAACCAGCCAAACUCCGAAUGCCGGCACGUGGAGCGCAGCAGUGAGACGGCGGGGGAUAAGCUUCGUCGUCGAGAGGGAAACAGCCCAGAUCAUCAGCUAAGGCCCCUAAGUGAUAGCUAAGUGGAAAAGGAUGUGGAGUUGCGUAGACAACCAGGAGGUUGGCUUGGAAGCAGCCAUCCUUGAAAGAGUGCGUAAUAGCUCACUGGUCAAGUGAUUCCGCGCCGACAAUGUAGCGGGGCUCAAGUUAUCCGCCGAAGCUGUGGCAACUUUUUUUGAGUUGGGUAGGGGAGCGUCGUGUUCGUGGUGAAGCAGCCUGGUGAUGGGUUGUGGAGUGGAUGCGAGUGAGAAUGCAGGCAUGAGUAGCGAAUGACGGGUGGGAAACCCGUCCGCCGAAUAUCCAAGGGUUCCAGGGUCAAGUUAAUCUGCCCUGGGUGAGUCGGGACCUAAGGCGAGGCCGACAGGCGUAGUCGAUGGACGACCAGUUGAUAUUCUGGUACCGGUGUAGCACCGUCCGUGUCGAGGUGUGUGAUGCUAAGCGUGCGAGUGUCCUGGUGAUCCCUUCGGGGUGAUCUUGUGGCGUGAGUGUGUGAACCGAUCAUGUAGUAGACAAGCUGCGGAGGGACACAGUGAGGUAGCUCGUCCCCGGCGAUGGUUGUCCGGGGCUAAAUGUGUGGACUGUCUGGUAGGUAAAUCCGUCAGGCGUUGAGUUGAGGCAUGAUGGCGAGCCAUGUUUGUGUGGUGAGCGAGUGAUCCUGUGCUGUCGAGAAAAGCUUCGUGAGCGAGGUGUGAGCCGCCCGUACCCUAAACCGACACUGGUGGAUUGGUAGAGUAUACCGAGGCGAUCGAGAGAAUCAUGGUGAAGGAACUCGGCAAAAUGCCCCCGUAACUUUGGAAGAAGGGGGACCUGAGCUGUUGCCGCCACGUGCUGGUGGUUGCGGUGAGGGGCGCAGAGAAUUGGGGGAAGCGACUGUUUACCAAAAACACAGGUCCGUGCGAAGUCGUAAGACGAUGUAUACGGACUGACUCCUGCCCGGUGCUGGAAGGUUAAGGGGAACUGUUAGCUUUGGCGACGCGGUGAACUUAAGCCCCAGUAAACGGCGGUGGUAACUAUAACCAUCCUAAGGUAGCGAAAUUCCUUGUCGGGUAAGUUCCGACCUGCACGAAUGGAGU